This 468-nucleotide ribosomal RNA is filed under the name uncultured bacterium. Its description in RNAcentral is "partial 16S ribosomal RNA". It matches the Rfam family "Bacterial small subunit ribosomal RNA", at positions 28 to 507 of the family's 1533-position model. The record is from RNAcentral.
GACGAACGCUGGCGGCGUGCUUAACACAUGCAAGUCGAACGGAAAGGCCCUGCUUUUGUGGGGUGCUCGAGUGGCGACCGGGUGCGUAACACGUGCGUAACCUGCCCUUGACUUUGGGAUAACUUCAGGAAACUGGGGCUACUACCGGAUACGAGCUCCUGCUGCAUGGUGUGGGUUGGAAAGGUUGGGCGGUUGGGGAUGGACUCGCGGCUUAUCAGGUUGUUGGUGGGGUAUUGGCUUACCAAGGCUUUGACGGGUAGGCGGCCUGAGAGGGUGACCGGCGACAUUGGGAAUGAGAUACGGUCCAGCGUGAGACGGGAGGCAGCAGUCGGGACUAAUGGACGAUGGGCGGAGGGAGGAUGGAGGAAUGAGGGGUGCGGGAUGUCGGACUUUGGGUUGUAAACCGCUUUAGGAUGUGACGAAGCGUGAGUGACGGUAACGGGUAAAGAAGCACCGGCUAACUACGUG